AAUUCCGGGUCAGGAAAACAUAACUUUUGGACGAGGGAGGGCGAAGGGAAAUAAAACGGCUCCCCCUCACAAAUCAAUUGAACACUUCUUUCAGAUAAAAGAAAAGGGGGCAAAGGCUCUCCGUGACGCAUCUGGGAGAAACCCAGCCGGAGACGCCGAGAGAAAAAGGCUUAUCCAGGUCAGACAGACGCGAUGACGACAAUCCACAUCCAGAAGGAUCACGUGCCGGGCUGCCCAUGCGCCGCGUCUUUCGCAUCCCCAGCGCCCCCUGGAGACUCCCGCGCAACAUCGCGCCUACCAGCUCCGCUCUUUGCAAGCAGCUGUUGCUCCGCCAGGAAGGGGGUGUCACCCCGGAAAAUCCCUCGCCGCCCGAAGUGGAAAUCCCCACCACGGAACUUUGAAGGGGGGGGGGGGAGAGAUGUCGUGUUCCUCCUAGUCGAACGGAAGAAAAAACAGAUAGUCCGGUCCGACCAACCCAGAAUCUCUUUGCAACUCUUGGCAAGCCGGUAGCAGAGAGAGCAAGAGGAGGAGUCGAGUUGUUGAGCGAGGGAAGAAGUCCUUCAUCCUAAGGACGGGAUUGGGAUUCAUGGCUCCCCAAGUUGCAUCGCCCAACGUCUGACUCGUUAACAUUGAAGAGGAUUAGUAGCAGACUGCAGGGUCUUUCCUCCGAGCCGGUCCGGGUUUCUCCUUAUAGAAUGGCUGGGUCACAGAUCAUCCCUCAAGCUUUAUUUCUGAGCAACAUGCUGAAAGCUGUGAAGAUAAGAGAACUGAUGUCGGAAGACCUUCUCAAGUGCAACAAUGGAAUUAUCCAGCAUUUUAAAACUAUGCAUAGAUACACCAUAGAGAUGUUCAGAAUGUGUCAUUUUUGCCCGCCUUUUCAGAAGAUUCUUCAAAAAUCUCUAGUUGACCAAGCAACCCAAAACUCACUGGAACGCCAAAAGAAGUUAAACUGGUGUCGAGAAGUUAAAAAACUUAUGCCACUGAAGACUAAUGGAGAUGGAAAUUGUCUCAUGCACGCUGCUUCCCAGUAUAUGUGGGGUGUCCAAGAUGUUGACCUGCUUCUGAGAAAAACGUUAUUUAAUGUACUUAAAGAAGCCGAUACACGCAAUUUUAAACUGCGCUGGCAGCGAGAAACACUUAAAUCACAGGAAUUUGUGGCAACAGGACUCUGCUUUGAUACCAGGAACUGGGAUGAUGAAUGGGACAAUCUUAUUAAAAUGGCAUCUGCAGAAACAUCAGUUGCACACACAGGCCUUCAGUAUACCUCUCUGGAAGAAAUCCAUAUAUUCGUCCUUGCUAAUAUCUUAAGGCGCCCCAUCAUAGUUGUUGCAGAUAAAAUGCUCAGAAGUCUGCAGUCAGGUUCCAGCUUUUCCCCUCUGAAUGUUGGUGGAAUAUAUCUGCCUCUCCAUUGGUCAGCAGAGGACUGUUACCGAUAUCCUAUCAUUCUUGCUUACGACAGUAUGCACUUCACUCCUUUGCUUGUUCUGAAAGAUAGCGGGCCAGAAAUCAGGGCAGUUCCUUUAGUCAGUUGCGAAAGAGGAAGAUUUGAAGACUUAAAAGUGCAUUUUUUAACUGACGCUGAAGAAAGGGAGAAAGAAAAACUGAUGAGAGACUACCUAAUGGUGAUUGAAAUUCCUGUACAAGGAUGGGACCCAGGGACAACACAUCUCAUUCAUGCUGCAAAGUUGGACGAAGGUAACUUGCCCAAAGAGAUUAAUCUGGUGGAAGAUUACUUUCAGCUGGUACAACAUGAGUACAAGCGGUGGAAAGAAAACAGUGAAUUUAGUGGGAAGGAAACAGCUGCGAGAAACAGGCUGGAGCUGCAGUUAUCCCAGCUAUCGCUUAUGGAGGCAAAAUGUGAAACUCCCAACUGUCCUUUCUACAUGUCUGUGAAUACCCAGCCAUUCUGCCAUGAGUGCUCUGAACAGAGACAAAGGGCAAAUUUGGUAAAGAGGCAGCAUUUCUGGUCCGGCUCAGAAAAGCCCCGGGUAAAUAGGUCCAGUUACCCAAAGGAUGAGCACCACCAGCCUCCUGCCUGGACCUUGGAGAAUUCUAGCACAGAAUCUCGUUCAGCACCCCCCACAGCUCCAAGUCUUUUUCUAUACAGUGAAACAACGGCCAUGAAAUGCAGGACCCCAGGCUGCCCUUUUACACUGAAUGUGCAAUAUAACGGGCUUUGUGAACGUUGCUACAGCUGUACAGAGAUCAAUCCUUGCAAUAAUCCAAGCGACCCACAGCAUUCAAAUUGUGUGACUUGCACAUCCUGCCUUAAGGACACCAACAGAACCUUCAAUGGGAUGUGUAGCGCUUGCUUCAAACGGACUAGAGACCCUUCCUCAAAUGCCAGCUCUGGCGGUUUGCCUUCAAGCCAUCAGAGGUCCUCUUCUGAUCCUAUUCCUGUAUCACAAAGUUUUUUGCAGCAUUCCUGUCACACAGCAACCAACAGCAAUAAGGUGGACGUGCCACCGUAUGUUCAGCCCCAAAGAACGGAACCGAGGACGAGUAACAAUAAAUGCAGGAAGCGUGGCUGUAAUUUUUUUGGGACUUUGCAGAAUGAAGGCUUUUGUACCCUGUGUUAUUUUGAAUAUCAAGAAAAUAGAGAGGCUCCCCUGCUUCAUCAGCGAAGGUCUCCUGUGACUUCUCCUGUUUUUGAGCAUCCUGGGGUCUCAGCUGCUGUCUAUCAGAAUACCAUUUCCUGUCCGGGUCGAGAAUGUGUCACAAUAGGGAGCACCAUGCUUGAGGGAUACUGCCAGAAAUGUUUUAUUGAAGCACAGAGCAAGCGGCUCUACGAAGCCAGAAGAACGGAAGACAAAGUAGUGAGACAAUCAGAGCAAACGGGACAACAUCAAGAUUUACACCAGAAAACUACACACUCUCAAAAACGGAAAUGUGCUAAAGCUUCAUGUAGAAAUAACUUAGCUUCUAGGAGUGCGGAGGUGUGUCAGGAGUGCUUGCGUGUCAGCCAACGGGGACAGUCCGGAACACCUCCGGUUGAACCUCCAGCCGACGAAGUUCCCAAACAGCUUUGCCGAGCCCCUGCCUGUGAUCACUAUGAUGAAGACAGAAAGUAAUCCAAAGGUGUGACAGAGGGCUGGUGAUGAGGAAUGCCGUUUCUGACUGUUUUCAGAGAAGAAUAUCACAUGUUGGAAUACCAAGGGGAAGGGAAUGUGGGAAUUCCCUCUAAUGCUGGGAACGAUGGAAGAAAAAAGAAGAGGAUGACUAACAGCAAGGGGAAUGGACUCAGUUACAAUAGCGAUGAGUGUAUUGUUUGAAGAACUGAAGGACCAAAUAAUUGUGGAGAAAAUCUAUGUGGCUGGCAAGACCAUGACAAGGACUUGAUAGCAUGUAAUCAAUCAAACUACAUUUCACCACUACCGCCCAGUACAAAGGAGAAAACGAUGAAGGAAUAAAAGACUAGAGAAAAUAAAGUUCAUUUGUUGCUUUUCAUACUGGAAGCUAGAAACUCACAAUAGGAAAGGUUUCCCUUGUUAAAUUUCUCUUUGUCACAUGACUACUUACAGAUCCAGGAGCCUAUCCAGGAAAGGAAAAAAAAACUGUUUUCCAUCCCCUUCCUUGUCUUAAACAUCAUGGCAAUACUUGCUCAUUUUCCAGAUUUUUUUUUUCUUUUUUGUGAGUAUCCAUCUAUAACAUUCUGUGAAGUUAUUUUAUAGACAACUAUAAAGAGCUUAGCACAAGAAAUACUGUGCAGUGCUUUAUGACUCACUUCGAUUCUCUUUCCAGCUUAGUACUGCCAUCUUGUGGACAAACUCUAAUUUUUGAAGCUGACUAUAUACCGGUAGUUAAAUAUUAUCCAUUUAUUUGCUGCCAUUGUUAUACAUAAUGUAUGUGCAUAAGAAGUGCAAUUUAUGUCCCUUAAAUACGCUACUUAGCCAUAUCUAGAUAUUCGCUUUAACUAUAUUAAAAUAAAUCAUACCUAAUGGAGAGCAGAGGUAGGUUGGUAUAGUGGUUAAGUUACCAAGCUAUAAAUCAGGAAACUGUGACUUCUAGUCCUGCCUUAAGCAUAAAGCCAGCUGGAGACCUUGGUCAGUUAUUUUUUUUCUCCAUCCUAGAAAGAAAGCGAGGGCAAACCACUUCUGAAAUCUUGCCAAGAAAACUGCAGAGCCUUGUCCAGGAAUCCAUGCUGACCGAAGACCCAUGUAAAGUUUACCAGUUUAUAGAAGAAAAAAGAAAGAGAAGAAUGAUAACUUUUCCUGCUUUAAAAAUUAUCCUAAAAGAGGAAUGGUCAUCAAAAGGGAGCAGAGGAUUGUCAGUGGUGAGAUGGAAAAGAGCCUGGAAGGCAAUCUGAAUUGGAGAUCUAAUUGGUGUCAAUUACUGGCAAGGUUAUUGGAAGGAGAAGAAGAUGUACUCAUGGUUAAUUGAUUCCAGGAGGCACAAUGAAUACCAAGAAUGAUGAAUGCCAAAUAAUUUUUCCCAUAAGGAAUAAUGUAGUGAGUCACAAGGCAGCCGACAUCAACAAGUUCUAGCUUGUGCAUUGAGUACCAAACAAAUGAUGAGUACCGGGACAAAAUUUUCAUGUCAAAAUGUGUUGAGUACCAAAUUUGAUGAGUUUCAAAGCAGUUGAGUAGCAAAGUACUACUGUACUUGAGAAUAUUAAUCCAGAAAUAGUGAUAUGAAAGAUCUGGAGAUUGCUUGGAGGACUACAGAUGAAUAUUGUGGCUAGGACGUUCAUGCCAUUUCUGGCUAUUUGAUGCACUAGGGACAGUUCUGUGCCUUUGUAGAGAGGACUGGAAGGAAUGCUCCACAGGGCACACAGAAACAAACAGACCAAUACACAUGAACUUGAUAUGUCUACAAAAAAGGGGAAAAUGUAGAUAAUGCCCUUCUCUACUUACCAACUGGAGAAAAGGGAAUCGGGAGAUUCCAAUUACUUUUUGGGUGGAGAAUCCCUUUUAUACUCUGUAAGGCAGGCGUGUCCAACUUUGGCAACUUCAAGACUUGUGGACUUCAACUCCUAGAAUUCCCCACCCAGCCAUGCAGUUGAAGUCCACAAGUCCACAUCCACACCCCUUGCUGUAAGUUACAGCAUCUAUGCUAGUUCUCACACAUGUGUUUGUUUACCCUCAUGGUUCCAGCUUUGUACAUUUUCUUCUAGUUUCAUGUUUUGGUUCCUUUCUCAAAGAAAUAAAACCUUGUUUACCGGUUCUAACCAUGUAA
Molecule: RNA transcript, 5175 nt
Organism: Crotalus tigris (Tiger rattlesnake)
Lineage: Eukaryota; Metazoa; Chordata; Lepidosauria; Squamata; Viperidae
Gene: TNFAIP3
Gene name: TNF alpha induced protein 3
Exons: 11
Source: RefSeq, a predicted model, not a curated record